Molecule: small nuclear RNA, 103 nt
Organism: Heterocephalus glaber (naked mole-rat)
Lineage: Eukaryota; Metazoa; Chordata; Mammalia; Rodentia; Bathyergidae
Source: Ensembl
CUGCUUGCUUUGGUGCACAUCUCCUCAAAUUGGAAUGGUACAGAGAUUAGCGUGGCCACUGCGCAAGGAUGACACACAAAUUCAUGAAGAAUUUGCCAGCAAA